AUCCAUUUUUCCAUGCAGUUUACUGUUCUAAAAGCUGUAAUACCCAUAUUUAAAUGCAGUAGUCUUAACUCCAUAGCAAUGGAAGCGCUAUAUAAAAUCACAUCUCACUUUUGGUUUGUAAGUGAAAACUUAGAAAAAAAUAAAUGUUGUUUUGUUGAGUGAUAGGAAUGAAGCAUUUAUACACUUAUACACUUAUUAUGUAUGUGGUUGGAUGACUUAUUUACUUAUUUACUGGGUCCCAAUUUCCUUUGUUUCUUCUAGUUUCUCUUUUCAUCUCUCCUUUUGAGACCUGUCCCCUUUUUCUACACUUCUUUACUCCCAGACAACAGCAAUGAGCAGUGAAUGUGUCUGAUGCUGAUAUUUGCAGUAGAUGGCAUCCCUCUCUCUUACCCAGUAAUAAAAUAAGGUAUGGAUUGUUUUUAAUUUAAUGUAAUUGGGGAGAUAUCCACACCAGAAGCCCAGAUCAGUCCUGCUAAUUUGGAUCCUGAUAACACACCCAAGAAGAGAAAAAUGUACCAAAGCUGAAGUCCACUUUGUUAUUGCUUUGUAGUGUUAGCUAGAAGUGGUUAUUUUUCACUCUCUUUUCUCUGUUGUGGAGAGAUGGCAUUAAUGCCUGUUGCUUUUCUUUUUUAUGUUUAAGUGGUGGGUAAAUGUUCUCAGUGUGUUUUGCAAGGAAAAGCUAAAAUGCCAUGUUCUGUUUUGUGUCUGUUGUGCAGCAUAAAACACACAGGCAGAAAGUUCCCUUGGUACAGGAUUUGGAUGAAGCUGGUAUAUAUAGUCCUGUCCUCAGACUUGAAUACCAAAAGGACCUCAGGGGAUUCCUUGAAUGCAGUUUGGGGCUGGAAGGGGCAAUAUUCAUAGUGUUGAAUAGAACAACUUCUGAUGAUGCCCUGGAUCUGCCUGAGCUGUUUGCCUUUUUCUGUUUCCUGCUGAGUUUGUCUGAGAGGUUCUGGAGCUAUAAACACAGCUGCUUAAAGCACAGAGAAGCUUCCAGACGCUGGAGGAGGUGA
RNAcentral lists this long non-coding RNA (1010 nucleotides) under Anas platyrhynchos platyrhynchos (common mallard). Its description in RNAcentral is "lncRNA (ENSAPLG00000026373.1)". Lineage: Eukaryota; Metazoa; Chordata; Aves; Anseriformes; Anatidae. The record is from RNAcentral.